GACGUAGGGGGCCAGCGUUGUUCGGAAUUACUGGGUGUAAAGGGUUCGUAGGCGGUGCGGCAAGUUGGGAGUGAAAUCUCUGGGCUUAACCCAGAGGCUGCUUCCAAAACUGCUGUGCUUGAGUGUGGGAGAGGCGCGUGGAAUUGCAGGUGUAGCGGUGAAAUGCGUAGAUAUCUGCAGGAACACCCGUGGCGAAAGCGGCGCUCUGGGCCGGUACUGACGCUGAGGAGCGAAAGCGUGGGUAGCAAACAGG
RNAcentral lists this ribosomal RNA (253 nucleotides) under uncultured bacterium. Its description in RNAcentral is "partial 16S ribosomal RNA". It matches the Rfam family "Bacterial small subunit ribosomal RNA", at positions 524 to 776 of the family's 1533-position model. The record is from RNAcentral.